Molecule: long non-coding RNA, 732 nt
Organism: Portunus trituberculatus (swimming crab)
Lineage: Eukaryota; Metazoa; Arthropoda; Malacostraca; Decapoda; Portunidae
Exons: 3
Source: RefSeq, a predicted model, not a curated record
GAUCACGGUAGAGGACAGGCUAUCACUAUUGCUGAGGGUGACACGGGGACACCUUCCGCCGCCUCCCCUUGUGUACCUGACCCUUUUGUGCUGCCUGAAUUUGGUGUGGUGUUGUGGUGUUUCUGAGCACUUCCUCGAGAUCAGAGACGAGAAUUGGAACAGGUUACAAGACGAUGACGGAGAAAUGGGCGUUAUGUUGAAGUGGUGUGUGUGGGCGUGCUGAUGGCUGGGUGAGAGGGCGGCAGGCAGCUUGCGUCACAAGGAGCCAGACGCGACAUCCCAGGGGAGAGCAAGAAAAAGUUUUAAAAUUGAGUUUCCCAACUUUGUAAGGCCAUUGCAAGGAAGGGUAAAGGCUGUGACGGCGUGAAGACGUUAGUUAAGGUCAGGCUCUCUUUGGGGAUGAAUAAAUAGAGUGAAACCACAGCGUGGGAAGACGUGGCAAGUUUUUUUUCUUAUUUCACCUUAACUCUUCUUGGAUCCUUCCUCUUGUUAGUAGCGCCGCUACUCGUCAAAAAACCGUAACUCUUUGGCUUAAUUCAUAAAAUAAAUGUAAUAUUUGGAUAAAAUUUCAAUAGUAUCAUCAAUGCCCAGCACUUAUAAAGGUAUGUCUAAAUCAAAAUCUCGGGUAGGAGUUGCAGUAUUGGUUUCUUCAAAGCGUAAACGUGUAACUUUCUGCGCUGAGUUCCCGCUGCUGCUUGUCCUCCACGCGUCUUAAGACACUUUGAGAAGCCG